RNAcentral lists this non-coding RNA (72 nucleotides) under Microbispora rosea. The record is from RNAcentral. Lineage: Bacteria; Bacillati; Actinomycetota; Actinomycetes; Streptosporangiales; Streptosporangiaceae.
AGAAGGCCGCGAUCCGCGGCCUCCCCGGACGAGGUGCCCGCCGUACCCGGCCCAGCGAAGACGGUGGGCGGA